UAUGCAGCAGCCCAAGCCAGGAAAUGGAACCCAGCAAGCCACACAGCGGGCCAGCAAGGAUACUACCACCACCACAACCACCACCUGUACACUGUCUGUCACCUGACUCUUGGAGAAGUUGAAUUAAGUGGAGAUGAGUUGGCUGAUUGAGCAGAGGAGGGAGUAUUGUGGGAGUUUCAACACGGGAGAAUGCAAGAUCAGUCAGUGAAGAAACCGGAGCUGAUGUCUGUGAUGGAAGGCUGCAGAAGACCAUGCCAGGCACCACUUUGGCAGGGAUGUGGAUGGUCAGUGUUUUAAUGGGUGUGUGGUGGGCAUAUUGUCACAUUUUUAUGUCUUUAUCAAAUUUGAGCAUUCUGUUACAUUGUUCUCUCUCUCUCUCUCUCUCUCUCUCUCUCUCUCUCUCUCUCUCUCUCUCUCUCUCUCUCUCUCUCUCUCUCUCUCUCUCUCUCUCUC
Long non-coding RNA from Scylla paramamosain (green mud crab), 453 nucleotides. RefSeq lists it as uncharacterized. The transcript has 2 exons. NCBI's taxonomy places the organism in Eukaryota, Metazoa, Arthropoda, Malacostraca, Decapoda, Portunidae. The record is from RefSeq and is a predicted model, not a curated record.